This 131-nucleotide small RNA is filed under the name Escherichia coli. RNAcentral describes it as "RtT sRNA". It matches the Rfam family "RtT RNA". From Rfam's summary of the family: This family represents a bacterial cis-regulatory element known as RtT RNA. The exact function of RtT is unknown although it is thought that it may be involved in changing the cellular response in relation to amino acid starvation. Lineage: Bacteria; Pseudomonadati; Pseudomonadota; Gammaproteobacteria; Enterobacterales; Enterobacteriaceae. The record is from RNAcentral. RNAcentral also lists the same sequence under 13 other names.
UAUUCUGCCCCACGGGGAAGGAUGAGAAGCUUCGACUAAGGUUCGACUCGAGCGAAGUGAGAGAACGUUGCCGCAGGCAACGGCCCGAAGGCGAGGCGCUUUAGCGCCGAGUAAUCCUUCCCCCACCACUG